RNAcentral lists this transfer RNA (88 nucleotides) under Pseudomonadota bacterium. RNAcentral describes it as "Proteobacteria bacterium (freshwater metagenome) tRNA-Tyr". It matches the Rfam family "tRNA". From Rfam's summary of the family: Transfer RNA (tRNA) molecules are approximately 80 nucleotides in length. Their secondary structure includes four short double-helical elements and three loops (D, anti-codon, and T loops). Lineage: Bacteria; Pseudomonadati; Pseudomonadota. RNAcentral also lists the same sequence under 1 other name. The record is from RNAcentral.
GGGUCGGUGCCCGAGUGGCCAAUGGGAACAGACUGUAAAUCUGUCGGCUUGACUGCCUACGGUGGUUCGAAUCCACCCCGGCCCACCA